ACCUUUUUAGUAUACCCAGUACAAUUGCUUUCCAAGCAGUAAGGCUAUUUCAAGAUGUAGAAAAGGUA
Molecule: transfer RNA, 68 nt
Filed under: Cocculina enigmadonta
Lineage: Eukaryota; Metazoa; Mollusca; Gastropoda; Cocculinidae
Description: tRNA-Gly
Source: RNAcentral